This 27-nucleotide small RNA is filed under the name Bombyx mori (domestic silkworm). RNAcentral's name for it is "ovarian small RNA-24209". Lineage: Eukaryota; Metazoa; Arthropoda; Insecta; Lepidoptera; Bombycidae. The record is from RNAcentral.
UAUUGAGUGGGAUGUUCCGGCCGAUAC